This 406-nucleotide ribosomal RNA is filed under the name uncultured bacterium. Its description in RNAcentral is "partial 16S ribosomal RNA". It matches the Rfam family "Bacterial small subunit ribosomal RNA", at positions 30 to 526 of the family's 1533-position model. The record is from RNAcentral.
AUUGAACGCUGGCGGCAGGCCUAACACAUGCAAGUCGAGCGAGCGGCGGACGGGUGAGUAAUGUCUGGGAAACUGCCUGAGGGAGGGGGCUAACUACUGGAAACGGUAGCUAAUACCGCAUACCAUCAGAUGUGCCCAGAUGGGAUUAGCUGGUAGGUGGGGUAACGGCUCACCUAGGCGCCGAUCCCUAGCUGGUCUGAGAGGAUGACCAGCCACACUGGAAAUGAGACACGGUCCAGAAUCCUACGGGAGGCAGCAGUGAGGAAUAUUGCAACAUGGGCGCAAGCCUGAUGCAGCCAUGCCGCGUGUAUGAAGAAGGCCUUCGGGUUGUAAAGUACUUUCAGCGGGGAGGCGUUACCCGCAGAAGAAGCACCGGCUAACUCCGUGCCAGCCGCCGCGGUAAUUC